This is a long non-coding RNA of Mirounga angustirostris (Northern elephant seal), 870 nucleotides long. RefSeq lists it as uncharacterized. The record is from RefSeq and is a predicted model, not a curated record. NCBI's taxonomy places the organism in Eukaryota, Metazoa, Chordata, Mammalia, Carnivora, Phocidae. The transcript has 3 exons.
GGACUGUAUAUAUACACACUUCCUGGGGACGUGGCCAAUCUGGGCCGGAACUUCCCAAGUGGAGGCUGAGAGCACACGCGCCUGACUGAGGUCUUGGGGUUGCCUGGGGGCUCAGAAGGAAGGCAAGGGGCAUCUAUUUUCCCAGCCCAGCACUGCUCCAGAGGUCCUGCAGAGGAAGUAACAACCGGCCGGGCUGUCCUAGCAGCGCCAAGGAAAGAAACAGAAGAGAGUGAGCGGGAGAGAAACAGCAUGAGAGGGGAGAGGGUCAGAGGGAGAAGCAGGCUCCCCGCCGAGCCGGGAGCCCGAUGUGGGACUCGAUCCCAGGACCCCGGGAUCAUGACCUGAGCUGAAGGCAGUCGCUUAACCAACUGAGCCACCCAGGCGCCCGAGGAAUUCUUAAUCUUAGGAAACAAACUUAGGGUUGCUGGAGUGGUGGGGGUGGGAGGGAUGGGGUGACUGGGUGAUAGACAUUGGGGAGGGUAUGUGCUAUGGUGAGCGCUGUGAAUUGUGUAAGACUGUUGAAUCACAGACCUGUACCUCUGAAACAAAUAAUACAUUAUAUGUUAAAAGAAAAAGAAGAAGAAGAAGAAGAAGAAGAAGAUAGCGGGAAGGGAAAAAUGAAGGGGGGGAAUCAGAGGGGGAGAUGAACCAUGAGAGACUAUGGACACUGAGAAACAAACAGGGUUCUAGAGGGGAGGGGGAGGGGGAUGGGUUAGCGCGGUGAUGGAUAUUAAAGAGGGCAUGUUCUGCAUGGAGCACUGGGUGUUAUACGCAAACAAUGAAUCAUGGGACACUACAUCAAAAACUAAUGAUGUAAUGUAUGGUGAUUAACAUAACAUAAUAAAAUUAAAAAAAAAAAUUAGAAAAAAA